Long non-coding RNA from Fukomys damarensis (Damara mole-rat), 5034 nucleotides. The record is from Ensembl. Lineage: Eukaryota; Metazoa; Chordata; Mammalia; Rodentia; Bathyergidae.
AGCCUCUGGAUGUUUUACUUGUGCUGCUUUGCGUGUUGUACAUAAUAGGACCGAGGCCAGCUUCAGGCCCCUCGCCUCACCCCGCUGAGUGCCGAGCUGAUAUCAGCUCUCCGGAGCUGGCCCAGCUGGGCCCAGGAUGCUCCCCUCCUGCUCCUCCCAGAAGCGUGUCUUUCUGUCUCCUUGCCCUGGUGGGAGACGGGAAGCUCUCCCCCUGUUGAAGGGGCUUCGCUCCUGUGUCAGCUUCGGCAAAUGCAAUGCUAUGGAGCAAGACAUAAGCACGUGUUGGAAGGGUGACGUCACACUUGCGACUGCUGUCUGGGGCUUUUUCAGUCACCAACGGGAAAUCACGACAUUGGUCAGAGGAGGACAAGACACUGAUGCAGCAAACGCAUGAGGACUCAUCGCUUGUUACGAUUCCAAGCAAGUACAGCGUGGAUCAGCUCAAUCUCAGUCGAUGCACGCAUGUGAGAGUGAGGAAUCAGUUCGCUGUGAUCUGCUGCGAGGUUUUGGUUGUUUGUUAUACCGCGAAAACUCACAGAUACAUAAUACUGUGCAAGUUAAGUUAAGUUGGAACACUUUUUAAGAAAUGAAAGAUCACAAUGAGAAAAUAGCACAGUGAAAAAUGCUAUUUCAGGGAGCAGAGUUGCUUACAAAGACGGACACUCAAAGUCACACAUUCAACACACAUGCACUGAAACGAAGUUUCGUGUUGCUCUGUGAAGCUGAGGUUUUCAGCUGUUCUGUUCCUGCUCGCCAUUUCCACAGGCCAGUGAUGCAGUCUGUUUCACAGUUGCUUCAAAGCUUGAAACUUAGGAAAUUAAUCCUUCUUCCUGAAAAACCUUCUUAAAGAUUAAAUAUCAGUCGAGAUUUCUCCAGCGGAAUGCCUCUUCUGCAAUGGCUCAAAAUGCUGGUCUGCGUCUUACACUGGGCAGGAGACUGGAGUCUACCGCAGAGGUCUACAGUUCAAAUCUAGUGGAAAUCACGUCAUCUCCAGUCACAAAUCACAUCUGCAGCAGCCAUUUCUCUGGGCUUCUCAGUUAUGUAUUUUUAAUGUCAAGGUGCCAGAUGCUGUCUAGUGGACCUCAAGUGUCCUUCAGAGGACCACGUGCAUGUGAAGAGCUUGGCCCCCGGCCCGACCCCACUUGGCGGACGUCAGUAUCAACUGUCCGUUGCUUAAACCUGGCUAAUGGAAUGGAAAGCUUACAAUUAUGCUAAUUUGCUAAUAUUUCAGCUUCCAGUUAACGGUACAAACAGCAACAAGCUAGGCAUGAUAACCAACUCCAGAUGUCUCGGUACUCUACUCAGGUCUGUGUUCUAUAAAACACAUUGCCUGAGAGUUCCUCAUUUUCCUUGAAGUCCGCCAAUAGUGAGUGAAAUUACCAUCAGUCAGUGUUCACUUUCCCCAGGACCAGGCCUGCUAGGCACUCUUUUCCUUUUCAGCAGCUUCUGUUUCAAAUAGUUGUAUUAUUGUUUCUGCCGUGUUUGCUAGUCAUGCUUUUCAUCCUCCAUUCGAUCAAUCCAAAAGUGAACUGAGUCUUUUGCAUUGGGGUUCAUCCUGGGGUUUUUAAAAAUGAGAUUUGUAUCUGAUACUAAAUUUGUUGAAAGAAAUUAGGGGUCUUUGCAUGUCUUAAUAGGUGUAAUUUUUUCUUUAUAUUCUACUUGAUAAGCUGCUUUUACCUUGACUAAUUAACCUUAUAUGUGCAAAAUUUCACCUCAAAAACAAUUACUGGAAUUCAUCUAUGGUCUCUUUUGUUUCUUUCUCAUUGAAAAAGAAAAAAAUAUUUAGCUGGUUUGCCAAAUUAAACAUUGAUCUGAGACAUAAGACUUUGAUCUAGAUAAGCCUACACACAUCUACAUUUCUGGAGGAUCCUUUUCAGUUUUUGAAAUUUUGCGUAAUCUCUGAUUAAAUAUAUUGUGUCCCCUGGUACUUCUCCAAUAUCCUAGCACUUUACAAUUCCCUCAAGAUUGUGGCUUGCCAGAUUAGUAUAAUGAUUAGCUUUUCUGUUCCAAUGAAACCAUGUAAGAUAUCUUUUUAUACCUUCUUCUGUCAAUUUCUGUUUUAGAUUCUUAAAAUACUUUACCAGGACAAAAACACUAACUAGACCAGGUUGGUUAGUUCCUACUGUAAACACAUGGUACUGGAUUCUCUGAGUCUUCACCUUCACUUACCCUUUAGGGGUAACAGAAAACAGUAAAAAUGUGAAAUCUACAGACUUUGAUCUUUAACAUUCAAUUUUCUCUUCAGAAAAGACUUUCAUAGAAUUAGAGUUUUGUACCUGUUUGGCAUUUGUUUUAUAAGAUUACCAUAUGAUCCUGAAAAUAAAUUUCCACUAUGUCCACUAUCUAGAAAAGUUAAAAUCACAGAAGUUAAAUACCAGUCACAAGGUCAUAAGGAGAGUAAAAGUAAAUGCAGAUCUAUCAACAGUGAACCCUUUCAAAGGGAAGUUAAGAAAGCAAUCCCAUUUACAAUGAUAUAAAAAUACUUAGCAAAUACUUCAUCAAGGAAAUAGAAGACGUGUAUACUGGAAACCAUAAAAUUGUAAUGAAAGAAACUAUAGAUGUAUAAAAUAGAAGAUAUUUCAUGCUUACGUACAAGAAAUUUUUGUUUUUAAAUGUCUAAACCCACCUAAAGAUUCCAUGCAACCUCUAUCAAAAUCCCAGAGCUCUUUGUCCCCGAAAGAGAAAUCCCAGAUUUAAUAUGAAACCACAGUAGAAUCAGAAGAUCCAAAGUAAAAUUGAACAAGAGCAGUAAACCUAGAGGUACCACACUUCCUAAUUUCAGACUAUAGCACAACGUUGUAACAGUCACAAUAAUACCAUCUUAGUAUAGAAACAAAAAUAGAAUGAUGGAAUAAUAUGUAAAGCCCAGAAAUGAAUCUGCAGAUACGGCUCAACUGACUUUCUCCAGUGAUGAGGAGAACACACCAAAAAUGAAGGAGAGUCUCUUCAUGACACACCAUAGCAGUUGAAAAGAUAUUCACAUGUUAAAAGAAAAAUAGAUCCUAACCAGAUAAUAAACAAAAACAACUCAAAUCAAUUAAAUUCUUAGACAUUAAGACCGGAAAUUCCUAUAUUAAAAAAAAAGAGAGAAAAGCUUCUUAAUAUUCUUCACAUUGUCAUGGGUUCUUGGAUACCAAAGCCACAAGCUACAAAGAGAAAACAAAUUGAGGAGCCUCAGCACAACAAAGGAAAUAUCAGAAUGAAAGGCAGUCAACAAAAAGUGAUACAAUAUUUGCAAACCAGUUAUCUGAUAAGUUGAUUAAAAAUAUAAGGAACUCCUGUAACUAAAUAGCAAAAAUAUAGAUAACCCAGUUGAAAAAUUGGCAAAGAACUUGCACAGACAUUUCUACAAAGACAUAAAAAUGAUCAAUGAGUAUAUGAAAAGAUGAUCAACGUUAUUAAUUGUCAGAGAAAUGUAAAUCAAAACCAACAUAAGAUAAUGUGUGUUCCUUAGGCUGAUCAGUGCUAAAUAAAUUAAAGAUAUGUUGAUAAGAUUUUUAAAGAAAGUGGAACUGUUGAGUGGAAUGCAAAAUGGUGCAGCAGCUACGGAAAAUGGUAUGGUUAUAGCUCAAAGGAGUAAAAUAGAGCUAUCAUAUCGUGUUAUCCCUUCCUCAUUACUGGGGCAAAAUAUGCAACACCUGCAACUAAAGGAGGAGAGGUUUUUGUGGCUCAUGGUUUCAAUGUGUUCAGUCCAUGGCUGGCUGGAUCCAAAAACAACUUGGCGAAGGGGCACAGUGCAGGACAGCUGCUCACCCCAUAGGAGCACAGAAGCAAAGAGGGAAGGGGCAAGCUGGGAGUAAGAAUACCCACUUCUAGGUCAUGCCUUCUACGGCCCACCUCCAGCCAGGCCUUCCUUUCUAACAGCAUGUUCAGUUAAGAAUUCCUGAAUGGAUUAGUCCAUUGUCAUCUUCCCAAAGCCCACCUCUAAACACAUGAGAUGCUGGCGGGGGGGCAUUUUAGAUCUAAGCCAUAGAACUUGUGAUUCAGCAAUCCCACUUUUUAGAAUAUAUUCAGGAGACUUAGAGUCAGUAACUCAGGAUAAUCUCAUACCCGUGUUCAUUGUAGAACUGAGUGUGGAAAGCAUUAUAUGGAAAUAACCUGCGUGUGCAUAAGUAGAUGAAUGGAGAAGAGAGGAUGUGGUCCAUAGAAACACUGGGAUGAUACUCAGCCUUAACAAGGCAGAAAGGCUACUUGCGAGUGUGGAUCAAACUAAACACUAUUAUGCUAAACGAAAUAAGCCAGUAACAGAAUGACAAGUACCUUAUGAAUUCACUUUUAUGAAGUAUGUAAAACACUAGUGAAAUUCGUGCAAGCAGAGGAUGCUGGAAUGGUUGCCAUGGGCUGGAGAUAUUAUGUUAAGCAUUAUAAUUGCACAGGAAAAAAUGAGAAAAAUGGAUAAAAAUCUGGAAGAAUUCAGGGAACCUGUGGGAAGGGUGAGCUCUGUCUGCUACCUUGAUUGAAGUUUUGGUAUCGUGGGUGAUGCCCAUGUCCACAAUCGUCAAAUUAUUCAUAUUAAAAACAUAUAUAAUUCAACUAAUAAAUUCUUUCAUGUCAAGCAUAUCUCAACAACUCUAUUAAAAAGAAAAGAAUAAGCAACCAAACAAUGAAUGAAAUAAAAAAUACAGAUGUCCUGACACCACAGUAUGCAACUUCUCCACUAACAAGGUUACUUUCUUUUUAUAGUUGUGCAUUUGGAUUUACCUUGUGAUUUCAUUACUUAUAUGCAUAAUAUUUGUCUCUUUUGCAACAAUUAUCCAAAAUUCAACAGAAUUUCUUCUUGUUGGGAUUUCAGAACUCUUUGGUUUGAGCUACUUCUAUUUAAUGAUGACAACUGUCAUUAUCUACUGGUGAGCAAUCUUAUAAUGUACAUUAUGUCCCUUUAUAAAAGGAAAAUUUACAAUAUUUUUGAGAUUUAAAAGAUGACCACUUCAAGAAAAGUGUGUCUUAUUAAUCAACAUACACACACACAUGCACACGCACACACACACACACACACACACACACAUAUAUAUAUAUAUAUAUACAUUUCUCUCU